UCAUUUGUCUUCUCUCAGCGAUUUAACAGUAAAAUUUACUAAAUGUCUAUAACUAUUUUCAAAACUCGCAGUACUUCUGAAAAUAAAAAUUAUCAAACACUUAACUGAUUCUCUUCAUAACUAAUUACUUUUAUAGCACAGCUAACAACAAUUAUUUUAAAGAUUACAGCAUUCCCAAACUGGUACUAAGAGCAGUGAUGAUACGAGUAAUGUGGCUCUUCUUAUGGAGAGCAAUAUCGCACAUGUUCAGCUUCUAGGAGAGUUGUAGGUCCUACUUCACAUAUCCCCUAAUUAUAAUUACACACAUGCAGCGUUGCUCUCCGUAAAAUAUGCGACACCGCUCACUCUACAAAAAAAACCCAAAAAUAAAACACAAAAAUCUCAUUUAACAAACAUCGAAUUAAUCCUAAAGGCUCAUCUCAUCAUUUCAGAUUAGGGCAUGUUAACCCCAUGUUCACAAAAAAAAAAUCAGCCAUUUUAUUAUUCCCUUUACAUAACAGACAUUAGAACUCAUCAUGAAAAUUAAUUCAUCAUUGACGAUUAUAUCGAUAUUGGGUUGUCUUGAACUUUUUCCAUGCUAUAGUGCUGGCCGAAAAGUUUUGUGUAAAUUUUGAAUAAGUGUGGGACUAUUAGCACUCUUCUAAUUUCCUUUUAAAAUCUUUUUUCAUUUUUAUCAAAACCUAUUUUAAUUCUCAAAAUAUUCUUUUCCAUUUUUUCAAUUUCAUAUA
Molecule: long non-coding RNA, 728 nt
Filed under: Citrus x clementina
Lineage: Eukaryota; Viridiplantae; Streptophyta; Magnoliopsida; Sapindales; Rutaceae
Description: Citrus clementina (C. clementina) long non-coding RNA (CCLE_LNC004227)
Source: RNAcentral